RNAcentral lists this ribosomal RNA (443 nucleotides) under uncultured bacterium. RNAcentral describes it as "partial 16S ribosomal RNA". It matches the Rfam family "Bacterial small subunit ribosomal RNA", at positions 338 to 795 of the family's 1533-position model. The record is from RNAcentral.
CCUACGGGAGGCAGCAGUGGGGAAUAUUGGGCAAUGGGCGCAAGCCUGACCCAGCAACGCCGCGUGAAGGAAGAAGGCUCUCGGGUUGUAAACUUCUUUUCUUAGGGACGUAGAAAGUGACGGUACUUGAGUAAUAAGCCACGGCUAACUACGUGCCAGCAGCCGCGGUAAUACGGAGGAGGCAAGCGUUAUCCGGAUUUACUGGGUGUAAGGGGCGUGUAGGCGGGAAAGCAAGUCAGAUGUGAAAACCAUGGGCUCAACCUGUGAUCUGCAUUUGAAACUGUAUUUCUUGAGUACAGGAGAGGCAGACGGAAUUCGUGGUGUAGCGGUGAAAUGCGUAGAUAUGAGGAAGAACACCGAUGGCGAAGGCAGUCUACUGGACAGCAACUGACACUGAGGCGCGAAAGCGUGGGGAGCAAACAGGAUUAGAUACCCGGGUAGUC